This 222-nucleotide non-coding RNA is filed under the name Caminicella sporogenes. Its description in RNAcentral is "T-box sequence". It matches the Rfam family "T-box leader". Rfam says of the family: Uncharged tRNA acts as the effector for transcription antitermination of genes in the T-box leader family. T-boxes are found upstream of many aminoacyl-tRNA synthetase genes and some amino acid biosynthetic genes usually in Gram-positive bacteria. Lineage: Bacteria; Bacillati; Bacillota; Clostridia; Peptostreptococcales; Caminicellaceae. The record is from RNAcentral.
AUUUUGGUUAUGAAGGGAAAUAGUAGAAAUGAUGAUGCCUACAGAGAGUGAAAUCCAUUGGCUGGAAGAUUUCACAGGAUAUAUGCAUUUCGAACCCGUCCCAGAGCUUAUGACGAAUAAUAAGUCAUACGGUUGCGAUACCGUUAUCAUCGCUAAGAGGGAAUCUAGUAGUUGAUACUAGAUUAAUUAGAGUGGUACCGCGAGAAUACCUUCGUCUCUAAA